ACCCUUUAAUGUUUGAUGUUCUAACGUUGGCCCGUUAUCCGGGUUGCGGACAGUGUCUGGUGGGUAGUUUGACUGGGGCGGUCUCCUCCUAAAGAGUAACGGAGGAGCACGAAGGUUGGCUAAUCCUGGUCGGACAUCAGGAGGUUAGUGCAAUGGCAUAAGCCAGCUUGACUGCGAGCGUGACGGCGCGAGCAGGUGCGAAAGCAGGUCAUAGUGAUCCGGUGGUUCUGAAUGGAAGGGCCAUCGCUCAACGGAUAAAAGGUACUCCGGGGAUAACAGGCUGAUACCGCCCAAGAGUUCAUAUCGACGGCGGUGUUUGGCACCUCGAUGUCGGCUCAUCACAUCCUGGGGCUGAAGUAGGUCCCAAGGGUAUGGCUGUUCGCCAUUUAAAGUGGUACGCGAGCUGGGUUUAGAACGUCGUGAGACAGUUCGGUCCCUAUCUGCCGUGGGCGCUGGAGAACUGAGGGGGGCUGCUCCUAGUACGAGAGGACCGGAGUGGACGCAUCACUGGUGUUCGGGUUGUCAUGCCAAUGGCACUGCCCGGUAGCUAAAUGCGGAAGAGAUAAGUGCUGAAAGCAUCUAAGCACGAAACUUGCCCCG
This 600-nucleotide ribosomal RNA is filed under the name Escherichia coli. RNAcentral describes it as "partial 23S ribosomal RNA". It matches the Rfam family "Bacterial large subunit ribosomal RNA", at positions 2202 to 2801 of the family's 2925-position model. The record is from RNAcentral. Lineage: Bacteria; Pseudomonadati; Pseudomonadota; Gammaproteobacteria; Enterobacterales; Enterobacteriaceae.